CCUACGGGAGGCAGCAGUGGGGAAUCUUGCGCAAUGGGCGAAAGCCUGACGCAGCAACACCGCGUGCGGGAAGAAGGCUUUCGGGCUGUAAACCGCUUUCAGCAGGAACGAAAAUGACGGUACCUGCAGAAGAAGGAGCGGCCAACUAUGUGCCAGCAGCCGCGGUGAUACAUAGGCUUCAAGCGUUGUCCGGAUUUAUUGGGCGUAAAGAGUUCGUAGGCGGUCGAGUAAGUCGGGUGUGAAAAUUCUGGGCUCAACCCAGAGACGCCACCCGAUACUGCUUGACUUGAGUUCGAUAGGGGAGUGGGGAAUUCCUAGUGUAGCGGUGAAAUGCGCAGAUAUUAGGAGGAACACCGGUGGCGAAGGCGCCACUCUGGAUCGAUACUGACGCUGAGGAACGAAAGCAUGGGUAGCAAACAGGAUUAGAUACCCUGGUAGUCCAUGCCGUAAACGGUGGGCACUAGGUGUGGGUUUCUAUUAACGAAAUCCGCGCCGUCGCUAACGCAUUAAGUGCCCCGCCUGGGGGUAGGUACGGUCGCGAGACUAAACUACAAUAGAAGUUAGACGGCGUGAGACGUGCCGACGGACGACCGACGAGGGAGGUAGG
RNAcentral lists this ribosomal RNA (607 nucleotides) under uncultured bacterium. RNAcentral describes it as "bacterial SSU rRNA". It matches the Rfam family "Bacterial small subunit ribosomal RNA", at positions 338 to 1414 of the family's 1533-position model. The record is from RNAcentral.